RNAcentral lists this long non-coding RNA (827 nucleotides) under Pan troglodytes (chimpanzee). Its description in RNAcentral is "long non-coding RNA NONPTRT012336". Lineage: Eukaryota; Metazoa; Chordata; Mammalia; Primates; Hominidae. The record is from RNAcentral.
CCAACAAGCGUCUCUUGCUUUCUUGCUUCCUUCUGUCUCUUUGCCCCCUCAGAUCCUGCCUGUGACCCACACGGAGAUCUCCCCAGAACAGCAGUUCGACAGAAGUGUACAGAGGCUUCUGGCAACACGGAUUGCCGUCUACCUGAUGACCUUUCUCAUCGUGACAGUGGCCUGGGCAGCACACACAAGGUUGUUCCAAGUUGUUGGGAAAACAGACGACACACUUGCCCUGCUCAACCUGGCCGCAUCAUGGCUGUGAUGCCCUCCCUCCUUCCAGGCCUGCAUGAUGACCAUCACCUUCCUGCCUUACACGUUUUCGUUAAUGGUGACCUUCCCUGAUGUGCCUCUGGGCAUCUUCUUGUUCUGUGUGUGUGUGAUCGCCAUCGGGGUCGUGCAGGUCACACAGGUAGGGUUCCUGAGGCCACCUACACACAUAGGAUGUGGCAUGCCCAGAGUCCCCGCUUUCUGACCAGAGACUGGGAAGAGUGGGCCCUGAGACCCCCCACAUGCGGCCCCAGGAGCCAGCAGGGGCUCCUGUUCUCUCUCCACCUCAGCCCGUGCCCAAAGCGUCCCAGGUACAAGCCCACCUCUACCCGCCAGGUCCUCCCCACCUCGAGACCCCUGCGUGCGCGUGCCAUGCGGCCCGGGGCCAGGUCCUCCCCCACCUCGAGACCCUUGCGUGCAUGUGCCAUGCGGCCCGGGGCCAGGUCCUCCCCACCUCGAGACCCCGGCGUGCGCGUGCCAUGCAGCCCGGGGGUUGACUGCUGUGGGGGCCCCCUCUGCUCUUGGGGCCGGUGUCCUGCAGCUUGCUUUUCCCACAGGCACUG